RNAcentral lists this antisense RNA (506 nucleotides) under Kibdelosporangium aridum. RNAcentral describes it as "Saccharopolyspora sRNA 350". It matches the Rfam family "Saccharopolyspora sRNA 350". The record is from Rfam by way of RNAcentral. Lineage: Bacteria; Bacillati; Actinomycetota; Actinomycetes; Pseudonocardiales; Pseudonocardiaceae.
UUGAUCGAGAAGCUCCACUCGUCGCGCAGGCCGGUCAGCGCCUGCUCGCCGAAGUACUCGCCUUCACCGAUCGUGUCGAGCACGGUGUCCGCGCCGUACUCACCUUGGCCGAUCUUGUCCGCCUUGCCGUGUGCCAUCAGCACGAGCCGGUCGGCGUGACCUCCUCUCUGGAUGAUCAGGUCUCCCGGUUCGAACUCCUGCUGCUCGAACCGGCCGGCCAGUGCGGCCAGCGUCUCGUCGUCGUCCAGAUCGUGCAGCAGAGCCAGUUCACGCAGUUCCGGCGGCACCACCUGGACACGGCCCGCACUGCUGGUGAAGCUGACCAACCCGUCGCCGAUGGCGUACGUGAGCCGCCGGUUCACGCGGUACGUGCCGCCUUCGGCCUGUACCCAUGGCAGGACGCGCAACAACCACCGCGGCGUGAUCCCCUGCAUCUGCGGUACGGACUUGGUCGUCGUCGCCAGAUUUCGCGCCGCGGCGGUGCCGAGGCUCAUCUGCUGCGACUG